Molecule: ribosomal RNA, 636 nt
Filed under: uncultured bacterium
Lineage: Bacteria
Description: bacterial SSU rRNA
Rfam family: Bacterial small subunit ribosomal RNA
Source: RNAcentral
CGCCUACCUGCAGUCGACGGUAGCACAGAGAGCUUGCUCUCGGGUGACGAGUGGCGGACGGGUGAGUAAUGUCUGGGAAACUGCCUGAUGGAGGGGGAUAACUACUGGAAACGGUAGCUAAUACCGCAUAACGUCGCAAGACCAAAGAGGGGGACCUUCGGGCCUCUUGCCAUCAGAUGUGCCCAGAUGGGAUUAGCUAGUAGGUGGGGUAACGGCUCACCUAGGCAACGAUCCCUAGCUGGUCUGAGAGGAUGACCAGCCACACUGGAACUGAGACACGGUCCAGACUCCUACGGGAGGCAGCAGUGGGGAAUAUUGCACAAUGGGCGCAAGCCUGAUGCAGCCAUGCCGCGUGUAUGAAGAAGGCCUUCGGGUUGUAAAGUACUUUCAGCGGGGAGGAAGGUGUUGUGGUUAAUAACCGCAGCAAUUGACGUUACCCGCAGAAGAAGCACCGGCUAACUCCGUGCCAGCAGCCGCGGUAAUACGGACGGUGCAAGCGUUAAUCGGAAUUACUGGGCGUAAAGCGCACGCAGGCGGUCUGUCAAGUCGGAUGUGAAAUCCCCGGGCUCAACCUGGGAACUGCAUUCGAAACUGGCAGCUAUAGUCUUGUAGAGGGGGGUAGAAUUCCAGGUGUAG